CAGUCGCCGCGGUAAUACGAAGGGUGCAAGCGCUACUCGGAAUUACUGGGCGUAAAGCGUGUGUAGGUGGUUGUUUAAGUCUGUCGUGAAAGCCCUGGGCUCAACCUGGGAAUUGCGAUGGAUACUGGGCGACUAGAGUGCGGUAGAGGAUAGUGGAAUUUCCGGUGUAGCAGUGAAAUGCGUAGAGAUCGGAAGGAACAUCUGUGGCGAAGGCGACUAUCUGGGCCAACACUGACACUGAGACACGAAAGCGUGGGGAGCAAACAGGAUUAGAUACCCCGGUAGUCCCUGUCUCUUAUAC
This 301-nucleotide ribosomal RNA is filed under the name uncultured bacterium. RNAcentral describes it as "partial 16S ribosomal RNA". It matches the Rfam family "Bacterial small subunit ribosomal RNA", at positions 509 to 807 of the family's 1533-position model. The record is from RNAcentral.